CGUAAACGUUGGGCGCUAGAUGUAGGGACCUUUCCACGGUUUCUGUGUCGUAGCUAACGCAUUAAGCGCCCCGCCUGGGGAGUACGGCCGCAAGGCUAAAACUCAAAGGAAUUGACGGGGGCCCGCACAAGCGGCGGAGCAUGCGGAUUAAUUCGAUGCAACGCGAAGAACCUUACCAAGGCUUGACAUACACCGGAAACGGCCAGAGAUGGUCGCCCCCUUGUGGUCGGUGUACAGGUGGUGCAUGGUUGUCGUCAGCUCGUGUCGUGAGAUGUUGGGUUAAGUCCCGCAACGAGCGCAACCCUCGUUCUAUGUUGCCAGCGGGUUAUGCCGGGGACUCAUAGGAGACUGCCGGGGUCAACUCGGAGGAAGGUGGGGAUGACGUCAAAUCAUCAUGCCCCUUAUGUCUUGGGCUUCACGCAUGCUACAAUGGCCGGUACAAAGGGCUGCGAUACCGUAAGGUGGAGCGAAUCCCAAAAAGCCGGUCUCAGUUCGGAUUGAGGUCUGCAACUCGACCUCAUGAAGUCGGAGUCGCUAGUAAUCGCAGAUCAGCAACGCUGCGGUGAAUACGUUCCCGGGCCUUGUACACACCGCCCGUCAAGUCAUGAAAGUCGGUAACACCCGAAGCCGGUGGCCUAACCCUUGKGAAGAGCCGUCGAAU
Molecule: ribosomal RNA, 661 nt
Filed under: Curtobacterium sp. UPUM02
Lineage: Bacteria; Bacillati; Actinomycetota; Actinomycetes; Micrococcales; Microbacteriaceae
Description: bacterial SSU rRNA
Rfam family: Bacterial small subunit ribosomal RNA
Source: RNAcentral